Molecule: transfer RNA, 76 nt
Filed under: Actinomycetota bacterium
Lineage: Bacteria; Bacillati; Actinomycetota
Description: tRNA-Arg
Rfam family: tRNA
About the family: Transfer RNA (tRNA) molecules are approximately 80 nucleotides in length. Their secondary structure includes four short double-helical elements and three loops (D, anti-codon, and T loops). Further hydrogen bonds mediate the characteristic L-shaped molecular structure. tRNAs have two regions of fundamental functional importance: the anti-codon, which is responsible for specific mRNA codon recognition, and the 3' end, to which the tRNAs corresponding amino acid is attached (by aminoacyl-tRNA synthetases). tRNAs cope with the degeneracy of the genetic code in two manners: having more than one tRNA (with a specific anti-codon) for a particular amino acid; and 'wobble' base-pairing, i.e. permitting non-standard base-pairing at the 3rd anti-codon position.
Source: RNAcentral
GCCUCCGUAGCUCAACGGAUAGAGCAGCGGGUUUCUACCCCGUUGGUUGGGAGUUCGAGUCUCUCCGGGGGCACCA